This 643-nucleotide ribosomal RNA is filed under the name uncultured Actinomycetes bacterium. RNAcentral's name for it is "bacterial SSU rRNA". It matches the Rfam family "Bacterial small subunit ribosomal RNA", at positions 232 to 885 of the family's 1533-position model. The record is from RNAcentral. Lineage: Bacteria; Bacillati; Actinomycetota; Actinomycetes.
CGCGGCCUAUCAGCUUGUUGGUGGGGUAACGGCCCACCAAGGCUUCGACGGGUAGCUGGUCUGAGAGGACGACCAGCCACACUGGGACUGAGACACGGCCCAGACUCCUACGGGAGGCAGCAGUGGGGAAUAUUGCACAAUGGGCGAAAGCCUGAUGCAGCGACGCCGCGUGAGGGAUGACGGCCUUCGGGUUGUAAACCUCUUUCAGCAGGGAAGAAGCGAGAGUGACGGUACCUGCAGAAGAAGCGCCGGCUAACUACGUGCCAGCAGCCGCGGUAAUACGUAGGGCGCAAGCGUUGUCCGGAAUUAUUGGGCGUAAAGAGCUCGUAGGCGGCUUGUCACGUCGGUUGUGAAAGCCCGGGGCUUAACCCCGGGUCUGCAGUCGAUACGGGCAGGCUAGAGUUCGGUAGGGGAGAUCGGAAUUCCUGGUGUAGCGGUGAAAUGCGCAGAUAUCAGGAGGAACACCGGUGGCGAAGGCGUAUCUCUGGGCCGAUACUGACGCUGAGGAGCGAAAGCGUGGGGAGCGAACAGGAUUAGAUACCCUGGUAGUCCACGCCGUAAACGGUGGGCACUAGGUGUGGGCAACAUUCCACGUUGUCCGUGCCGCAGCUAACGCAUUAAGUGCCCCGCCUGGGGAGUACGG